GGGCCCAUAGCUCAGCGGUUAGAGCGGCCGGCUCAUAACCGGUUGGUCCCUGGUUCGAAUCCGGGUGGGCCCA
This 73-nucleotide transfer RNA is filed under the name Chloroflexota bacterium. RNAcentral's name for it is "Chloroflexi bacterium (anaerobic digester metagenome) tRNA-Ile". It matches the Rfam family "tRNA". From Rfam's summary of the family: Transfer RNA (tRNA) molecules are approximately 80 nucleotides in length. Their secondary structure includes four short double-helical elements and three loops (D, anti-codon, and T loops). Lineage: Bacteria; Bacillati; Chloroflexota. The record is from RNAcentral. RNAcentral also lists the same sequence under 1 other name.